Molecule: transfer RNA, 58 nt
Filed under: Dipodomys ordii (Ord's kangaroo rat)
Lineage: Eukaryota; Metazoa; Chordata; Mammalia; Rodentia; Heteromyidae
Rfam family: tRNA
About the family: Transfer RNA (tRNA) molecules are approximately 80 nucleotides in length. Their secondary structure includes four short double-helical elements and three loops (D, anti-codon, and T loops). Further hydrogen bonds mediate the characteristic L-shaped molecular structure. tRNAs have two regions of fundamental functional importance: the anti-codon, which is responsible for specific mRNA codon recognition, and the 3' end, to which the tRNAs corresponding amino acid is attached (by aminoacyl-tRNA synthetases). tRNAs cope with the degeneracy of the genetic code in two manners: having more than one tRNA (with a specific anti-codon) for a particular amino acid; and 'wobble' base-pairing, i.e. permitting non-standard base-pairing at the 3rd anti-codon position.
Source: Rfam by way of RNAcentral
UGGCUCAGUGGUAGAGCGCUUGCCUUGCAUGCAUGAGGUCCUGGGUUCGGUUCCUCAG